GAUAAUCACAGUCAUUUCCACUUCUACCAAUAUCAGUUGUAAUAGAAAUACAAUUACUUAUAUGAGUAAAUAAAUAGCGCAAAUAUUGUUCAUAUUCAUGCUUGAAUUAUAAAUACCUUAACUGUUGCGCGAGGCCAACCUUUAAAAGUAGGAUUAAAUACUCUUCUAAUAUAUUGAAUCCAAUUAGGAUUAGAAGCGAAAUUAUAAGGCAAGCACAUAACAGUAAUCAUUUUCGCUAAUUCUUCACGAUCCUUAUUUGGAUCGUAAUAUAGAAUACCUCCGUUGACAGUGUUUAUUCCUGGUUGAACUAGAUUUGAACCAGUACUUGGGUUAACUUGAGAAUCAACACUUGUCCCCCCC
This 360-nucleotide long non-coding RNA is filed under the name Nicotiana benthamiana. Its description in RNAcentral is "long non-coding RNA (NBEN_LNC016718)". Lineage: Eukaryota; Viridiplantae; Streptophyta; Magnoliopsida; Solanales; Solanaceae. The record is from RNAcentral.